AUUGAACGCUGGCGGCAUCCUUUACACANUGCAAGUCGAACGGCAGCGCGGGGCAACCUGGCGGCGAGUGGCGAACGGGUGAGUAAUAUAUCGGAACGUGCCCUGGAGUGGGGGAUAACGCAGCGAAAGUUGCGCUAAUACCGCAUACGAUCUAAGGAUGAAAGCAGGGGACCGCAAGGCCUUGUGCUCCUGGAGCGGCCGAUAUCUGAUUAGCUAGUUGGUGGGGUAAAGGCCUACCAAGGCAUCGAUCAGUAGCUGGUCUGAGAGGACGACCAGCCACACUGGAACUGAGACACGGUCCAGACUCCUACGGGAGGCAGCAGUGGGGAAUUUUGGACAAUGGGCGCAAGCCUGAUCCAGCAAUGCCGCGUGAGUGAAGAAGGCCUUCGGGUUGUAAAGCUCUUUUGUCAGGGAAGAAACGGUGUGGGCUAAUAUCCCGCACUAAUGACGGUACCUGAAGAAUAAGCACCGGCUAACUACGUGCCAGCAGCCGCGGUAAUACGUAGGGUGCAAGCGUUAAUCGGAAUUACUGGGCGUAAAGCGUGCGCAGGCGGUUUUGUAAGUCUGUCGUGAAAUCCCCGGGCUCAACCUGGGAAUUGCGAUGGAGACUGCAAGGCUAGAAUCUGGCAGAGGGGGGUAGAAUUCCACGUGUAGCAGUGAAAUGCGUAGAGAUGUGGAGGAACACCGAUGGCGAAGGCAGCCCCCUGGGUCAAGAUUGACGCUCAUGCACGAAAGCGUGGGGAGCAAACAGGAUUAGAUACCCUGGUAGUCCACGCCCUAAACGAUGUCUACUAGUUGUCGGGUUUUAAUUAACUUGGUAACGCAGCUAACGCGUGAAGUAGACCGCCUGG
RNAcentral lists this ribosomal RNA (851 nucleotides) under uncultured bacterium. RNAcentral describes it as "bacterial SSU rRNA". It matches the Rfam family "Bacterial small subunit ribosomal RNA", at positions 28 to 876 of the family's 1533-position model. The record is from RNAcentral.